CUCAGUGCCACUACUGACACUGAUGGACCGAGUUCAAUGCCUGGGACUCGCAUGCUGAACAGAUAUUUGCCUAUGUUUGUUGUGCUUGUGGCCUGGAAUGAGCUCUGAUAGAUUCCAAGGUAAGUGCUUCCGCUGCUAUGCCAUCUUGCUACCCUCUACUCUUCUGAACUAAGUUUUAGGUUAACACGCAAAGGUAUGGGCUUUCUCCUGGUAUUUUAUAUAUAUGUGUCAUUGCACUUUGCUCUCGCUUCUUCCCCUCCCACACUCUACUCUCCAGUCUUUCAUAUUGCUGUCUGGUAUUAUCCUGGCCUCUACAGUGGCUCUUAUAGUCAACACUUGACUCUGAACACAAACUGCUGUCUUUACCUUUAAGGCAUGGUCAAAUAUAGUGUUUUGUUUUUUCCACUGGUGUUGUUCCCAUUCUCACCUGAAUUACUGUAGUUUUUCACUUGGGUAACUGUGGUAGCUUUCCAGUCAGUGUCCGCCUUGGAUCCUGAAAACUUAUUCUCCCGAACAGCAGCCACAGUGACCCCUUAAAUAGUUAAUGUGGAUCAUUUUACACCUCUGCUAAAACUCUUCAGUAGAUUUCCACUUUUUUGGGAAUAAAAGGUAGUUCCUAUGAUAACCUUCAAGUUCUUUCUCUUACCUGUGUCAUCUUUCUCCGAUUUCCUUUUCUCACUCCCUUUAGCAUCACCCAAGCUCCUUGCCGUUCUUUGGCAGUGUUAUGCAUGCUGUUGUCUCAGGAUUUUUGCAUGUGUAGUCCUCACCAUGUAAGAUCCCUCCCCACCCACAACUGAACUCAGGGCCUCAUGCAUGAGGGGCAAGCACUCGACCACUGAGCUGUUUAUCCAGCCUUCCCCUUAUUUAUUAAUUUGUCUCUGUUCGUCAGCAUUUCACUCCUUAUACUUAAAGUACUUGUGAAGUACACGUGCCUCUGUUUGCAAAAUGUAAUGGUGAGGAGGGGUUUCCUGUAGAAACAAUUCAUGAACUGAAAUAUUAAAGAGGAGAAUUGAAGUGAAGAAAAAGGGAAGAUGCCUUCAUGCAAGGAGAAAUAUGCAUAUACCAACUUCCUCCAAUAGGAGGUGAGGCCAUGUUGAGAACAACAGACUAAUAAGUGCCUACAUCACCACACUCAUGGCCAUGAAGUGAUCAAUAUUGGUCUCUCUAUCCACUCAAAAACACAAAGUGAAGAGUUUGGUAAGUGCUCUUGGGUGAAGGACCUACUUGGAGGAGGAUAGUAGUAUGCCUGUUUUAGCUGAAUUUCUGGCUAACUUCCUGUUAUCAGGGAAGUGGGGUAUAUGGCAAGACAUUAGCUGCUACUCAAACUCCAAUUCAGAAUGGCAGAGGGUCUAUUUCUGUGAACAAUGUUGAGGAUGUCUCUCUCUGGUUAGAAGCUCACUCUAACCACUUGAAGAGGAGAUGUUUCCCAGUCCAGAAAUCAAUAAGUUAGAAAAAGUUUUCAGGGAAACAAGCAGGUGACAGCAUGCUGACAUUUUUCUUUGAAGCGUACUGAAUACUCUAUACAGUUUCAUGCUAAGUCCGUUGCGUAAAAAAGCUCUGACAGGGCUGAAGAAAUGGCUCAGUGGUUAAGAGCACUCACUGCUCUUCCACUAGGACCAGGAUUUGUUUCCUAGCACCUACAUGGUGCUUCCAACUCUCUGUAAGUCUAGUUCCAGGAGAUCUGAUGCUCUGUUCUGGUCUCAGUGGGCACCAGAACGCAUGUGGUGCAUAGACCUGCACGUGGCCAAAACGUGUGUACAUAAAGUGAAAACAAACGAAUCUUUAAAAAGCGUUUUGUUAAUGGAGCCUGAUAGAGUCUACAGAUAAGACCUGCCUUACUGGACAAGAUGCCCUUUGGUAGAAGCCACUGAGUUGGAAUUUUUCAGGGACGGUAUUAAAGGGAAGGAAGGUAAAGGAGGGAGGCCAUAAACAACCACCAGUAAAAUGCUGUUCUCUUAAUCACCUCCAAACUCUCGACAGCUCUGCUCAGGUGAGCCCUGAUUUCCUCAUUCGCUCCAUCAGACCCUUCUCACCACUCUCCAAAUCUUUGGGGGAGACUGGCUUGAUGAAGUAUGCUCAUGAUCACCUCUUGUGCUGUACCCAUGAGGGUGAAGCUACGGCACUUAGUCCCAGGGUCUCUUCCUGAGUUGCUUGCCUUGGAAUUCAGUGGUAUCUUUUGCUGUUUCUCUUAGCCCUGGCUACUGUUUUUUGUAAAUAGUUUUUAGUACUCCCUGCUGCUGGAGCUCAGGCUGGCAUCAAGACUCAGGCCCUUCUGACUGAGUAUUGUUUGAGGGAGUCAAAGCCAGGAGAGACGGCAGAUUGUUUAUAGAGUGCACAGAAGCACAAGGAGAAAUCUGAGAAGAUGUGGGAUUUAGUGCAAAGUAUCUAGCAGACAACAUGUGAGCUUACUGAAACUGGACAUCUGCAAACAGUCUGAGAAUAGAGCAGACUGGAUGUCAAAUUGUCUGCAUCCAUGACUAAUCCACGCUGAUCCUGAAGAUGACAGUAUGAAUUAGGAUACAUUUGGGGGAAGUUUACAGACUGAUGAUACCCUUCUGUAAUAGUAACCUGAACAGCGGUCCUCAAAGACUGGAAAGGCAGUCACUAACUCACUGUUUCUGUUCCAGCGGCAUCAAUACCUUCCAGCCCGAAGGGCUCCCUUGCUCUUCAUUCACUUAGGAUGUCCCCUGGUUCUUGCCUCCUAUUUAUUUGUAAGACAGGAUCAAUAAACGAGCAACCAGCAAUUCGCCCGAGUUAAAGAAAUAACUCUGCCGUUCAAAACCUCUGUGGAGAAUAAAUAAAAGUGUGCUUGCGCAGCCAGAGGAGCCCAAAAUAAACAAAAGAAAGAGAAAACAAACCCAAGCUGUCACAGGACCUGAGGAGUGCUUUAUAUAACAAUCCUACAAUGCCAGAAGAGCUAGGGGAACCUGGAUUCACUGGUGGCAGAGACUAGGCUGGGCAUUCAGGGGCUGAGCGCAAGGUGGGGCAUGUUUUUUUUUUUUUUUCCUGUGUCCUGGAACUUGCUCUGUAGGCCAGGCUGUCAUGGAAUUCAGAGAUUUCCCUUCUGAGAGCUGGAAGUAAAGCUAUGUUAUACGAAGCCUGGGAUGACCUGUUACUUGCAGUUGCAUUUUUAGCAGCUUUUCCACCUGAGAUCCUACUUGCUGUAAGUUCUUGUCUGGCUAAAGAUGGCAGCAGGAAGACCACAAGAAGGAAGUGCUCAUUGCUGGAUGAAGGAGUUUCCCCUCUUUCUCUAGUUACAUGUGUCUUUACAUGUGUGCUUCUUGAGCUCUCUGCCGCAGAGCUGUACAAUCCACUGGCCUGUUUAUAUUUAUUAAAAACUUUCACACCCUUAA
Meriones unguiculatus (Mongolian gerbil) is the source of this 3353-nucleotide long non-coding RNA. RefSeq lists it as uncharacterized. The record is from RefSeq and is a predicted model, not a curated record. The transcript is spliced from 2 exons. NCBI's taxonomy places the organism in Eukaryota, Metazoa, Chordata, Mammalia, Rodentia, Muridae.